UGUCAAGGCUAACUCAUUCUCACUUCCACAUCCCCUUAUUCCAACUAAAAAAUGAUUUUCAGUCUUCCCUCCACCGCAUUGGAAAUCGCCUCCAGUGGCGGCUGAGCUUCAAUAGACCUCAACCUCGCAUCAAUGGAAUCAUCCUUGUUCCCUUUCUUUCGUUCUCACGUUAACCUCUAUUAAUUCCUUCUUAACACUUCCAAUCAGAGAAUCAACUCAUAUGAACCCUAAAUUCCAGGUCCCCAAUUAAACAUGAAUUACAAUUGGUUUCAACCUUAGAACUUGGGGCUAACGUUCCUCUACAUCAAUUCUAUCAUCUGGUAACAAGAAAUAUGAUAAAGCAAGUGAGUUUGAAAGAGGUGCACCAACUUCAGAGUGGUGAAUUGCUCCGGUCAAGAUUGAGAAAUUUGAAGAUGAGGAUGAUAAGAAAUCUAGAGGCGCUUCAAAAUAAGUGGUGAAGUGAGGUUUGCAAGCCAUCUAGCAGCGCUAUCAAGAUGAACCUAAACUGAAUUAUGAAUGGUGCAAUUGGUCCAAACUGCAACAGGUUUUUAUGGGUCAAUAUGCCUGAUGAAAGGAAGCAAGGCUUGAUCAAGUCAUGGAUAAACCACUGAGGAAACCUAAAGACCAAGAUAAGAUGGCUUCGAGGGAAGAAAUGAGGGACUUAGGGUUAGACUUAGAAAGCUGACUUUAGUCAACUAGUUGACCAAAGUCAACUAUAGGUCAAAAUUGCAUUCUUUGUAUGUUUUAGAUUUUUUACUUUUUGUAACGACUUUGUAAACUUCUGACGAGUUUGUAAUGAAUUUGAAACUUGAUUUGUAAAUGAGUUUCCUCCAA
Lathyrus oleraceus (garden pea) is the source of this 834-nucleotide long non-coding RNA. RefSeq lists it as uncharacterized. NCBI's taxonomy places the organism in Eukaryota, Viridiplantae, Streptophyta, Magnoliopsida, Fabales, Fabaceae. The record is from RefSeq and is a predicted model, not a curated record. The transcript is spliced from 3 exons.